RNAcentral lists this ribosomal RNA (352 nucleotides) under uncultured bacterium. RNAcentral describes it as "bacterial SSU rRNA". It matches the Rfam family "Bacterial small subunit ribosomal RNA", at positions 8 to 350 of the family's 1533-position model. The record is from RNAcentral.
AGAGUUUGAUCAUGGCUCAGGAUGAACGCUAGCUACAGGCUUAACACAUGCAAGUCGAGGGGAAACGACAUCGAAAGCUUGCUUUUGAUGGGCGUCGACCGGCGCACGGGUGAGUAACGCGUAUCCAACCUGCCCACCACUUGGGGAUAACCUUGCGAAAGUAAGACUAAUACCCAAUGAUAUCUCUAGAAGACAUCUGAAAGAGAUUAAAGAUUUAUCGGUGAUGGAUGGGGAUGCGUCUGAUUAGCUUGUUGGCGGGGUAACGGCCNCCAAGGCGACGAUCAGUAGGGGUUCUGAGAGGAAGGUCCCCCACAUUGGAACUGAGGACACGGUCAAACUCCUACGGGAGGCA